CCGUCAUGAGAUAACAAGAAUAAAACAUAAGGGAGUACUCAACAUAUGACGAUCCAACAUGAUAUACAAACUUAUACAUGUGACAUACGGGCCUAUAAGGCCGACAUGACCAUUUGUAAACUCAACACAUAGGCCAACAAGGCCAUACAAGUAUCCAUAAACGUAACAUCUGUCUACAAGACUCUAAGAGUACAUAAAAUCAUAAAGGUCGGGACACGGCCCCACCAUACCAAUCAAUACAUAUCAAAAGCAUACUGACCAAAUAGGCAACUCCGAAGCAAGUGGAGUGCACCAACACCUCCGCUGAGCUGAUAGCCUCCUAGGAGGAAUGUCAACCUAUCAAUUGGGACCUGCAAGCAUGAAACGCAGCGUCCCCAGGCAAAAGGGACGUCAGUACGAAUAAAGUACCGAGUAUGUAAGGCAGGAACGCAUAAACAAGAACAGUAAUAUAAAGAGAGAUAGAGGAGAUACAACUUGUAACAUUUGCGUGCCUCUGGGGCUACUGACAUGAAAUGCAUAAUAUAUAUAUAUAUAUACAUAAACUUUUAAACAUACGCCUCUGUAAGCAUCAUCAUCAUCAUAUCAUACCUGGCCUCAAAGAGGACUCGGUAAAAACGUACCUGGCCAUCAUAAGGCUCGGUAGAAUCGUACCCGGCCACGUAGAGCUCAGUAAAUCCAACUGAUCAGUGGUUGCACAAUAGGUGUCGUACCCAGCCUACUAUAGCGCGGCUCGGUAGAGUAAAAUAGAUAUUAUAUAUAAUGCAUACUAGACUCAUGGAAUCACAUUCUAAACCUUUUGGAGUGACUUAAGGUCGUUGCACCUUCGAUUAACAUUAUGACAUCAUACCAUCAAUAUGAGCUUCUAUAGGAUUCAAGGAUCAUACAUACUUGCUUAAAAUAACUUUAUAAGGAAAGAACAAUAUGGGCAACCUUAGUCUAGGAGUAGGUCCAUUAUGAAAUAGCGUAUUCAUUUCACUUUAGAUAAUGCCAAAAGAAAGAGGGAAGUGCUUUAACAUACCUUAACCAUGGUGAGUCCUUAAUACCUCCCAAGCUACUAUUCAAACAACUCAACUCAAUCUACCAUUGCAUAAGGAGAUUCAAAAUCAGUGUUGAAUAAAGGCUAAGUCUGCAACUUAAACUUGCAGCUCGUUUAUAUAAAUUCGGGCAGCAUCUCCCCUGUAACAACAGCCUCCUCCAAUAUCAUAUACCAACAACAAUUACCAGAGAAAUCCAGCAAUACAUAAUUAUCAAUAACAAGACACCAUAAAAUAACAACAAGUCAUAACUAUUUUACGACGAGCGACAAGCUCCAAUUGGAAUUUGUAUACCUCAUAUCAUCCCUUAUAGACUUUUUACUUUAGCAUAAUAGUAUCAUUAAUAUGAUAAUGAAAUCCUUCAUCAAUAAUUCCAUCCUUAUACCAUAUAUCCAUAACAAAGAAAAUGAUCCACAACUCCAAUUAUUCUUAAUUAGCAACUUUAUUCACUAGUUCUUGUCUAGUUCAUCCAUUUAACUUAACCAAUGCCAAGAUAACUUAAGAACCUGUAGGAACACAAUAUAAUUACCUCAUACAGUAGAUGCAAGUCAAAAUCCAUAUUAUAUUUAGCUUACAACAUCCCAAUACACCCUAAUCAAUUCAUAUUCAAAAUGACGACUAUAGUAGUGUUAAACAUAAUGACUAAUCCGUGAUUUUUUUCAUUAUGUGGUGUUUAUCCACACCAUUUAUCCUCCAAAAGCUCCAUUUAACAACAACAAAAUAGACAGCCCAAAAGCUACACGAAACAACCCAAAAACAGUCCGUGAGUUCUAACUAUUAUGAAAUCAAUUAAUCAACCUUCCUUGAUAUUUAAGAGCUUAAAACCAGAAAUUAAGAAAUUUCUCAACUAUUAAAUAUCUUUAAAAAAACUCAAACUACAAAGAAAAAGAGAGGCAAUAUAGCAAUACUUACGUUGUGGGGAUCGUAGUUUUAUUGCUUCUUGAUUUCGUGUCCGGGAUGAUGGUAUUGUUGGAAACCCUUGUAGAGAGCUUAAGGGUGAUGUUAGGGGUCUUAUUUGGUCGUGCUCUCUGGAAAUAUGC
This 2074-nucleotide long non-coding RNA is filed under the name Nicotiana tabacum (common tobacco). Its description in RNAcentral is "long non-coding RNA (NTAB_LNC017361)". The record is from RNAcentral. Lineage: Eukaryota; Viridiplantae; Streptophyta; Magnoliopsida; Solanales; Solanaceae.